UGGGUGCCCUGCAUACAACAAGUCAUUUGUGGAAGCUGCAAAUGUGAUUGGCAUGGGCAGGAGGUGAGGCCCCUGCAAACAGAGGCAAAUGGGAUGUGCAUGAGCAAGUUGACACAGAGGAGUCAAGCUGAUAAUGGAUACAGCAUCUCAUUGUAGAGAAAAGAAAAGGUCACCAAAAUAGUCAUUCUACCUGGGACUUUCACUCCUGAAGCACGUGCUGCCUGACUGACAAACUUCACAUUCAGAUAUUUCUACAUUAAAAUAAUAAAAGAACAAGCUGAAUUCAGAAUUUUCUGUGCAAAACAGUACUUUGAGGAUUGAGAAUGACCUGGUUAUGCUGAAGACUUAACAAUACCAUGAAUGGAAAACCAAGACAUUUUACUUAAGAAUAAUGUCACUGGAGUUUCACAGAUGGAGGUGCAGACAUCAGGAAAAACCUACUUGAGCAAAAUGAUAAAACCAACCAUUUACAAACAAGUUGGAGGAGAAAACAGUGAUGCAACGGCCAUGAAUACUGUUUUACAGCUUCUUUUUUCAGGUGUUAGCAGUCACUGUAAGAUAUUUUUAUAUUUGUUUUUCAUCAAUACAUUCUGCAGAGUGAAUUUUUCUCCCUAGAUACUGGAUUCCUUUGAUAGUAAUUUCUAAUACUAAGAAUCCAUAGUAAAUACGCUUCACUGGGUAGAAGACAGUGACCGUCUGUGAGAAGACUAAUAGUAUCCAUGUGCUCAUGUGAAGGAUUUACUUUCAGUAUUCAUACAACAGGAAAUACUGAAGGAAGUAAAAAUUGAAUUACUGCCGGCAGUAAUUUCCAGAACUUCAGUUCAGGCAACCAGUUUCCAAGUAUCUCAGGAUGAACUAAGUAUAGAUUUUAAAAUAAAACAACGUUUAAGCAAUGCUGAGAGAUUAUUAAUUUUAUC
Long non-coding RNA from Gallus gallus (chicken), 917 nucleotides. RefSeq lists it as uncharacterized. NCBI's taxonomy places the organism in Eukaryota, Metazoa, Chordata, Aves, Galliformes, Phasianidae. The transcript is spliced from 3 exons. The record is from RefSeq and is a predicted model, not a curated record.